This 458-nucleotide ribosomal RNA is filed under the name uncultured bacterium. RNAcentral describes it as "partial 16S ribosomal RNA". It matches the Rfam family "Bacterial small subunit ribosomal RNA", at positions 338 to 795 of the family's 1533-position model. The record is from RNAcentral.
CCUACGGGCGGCAGCAGUGAGGAAUAUUGGUCAAUGGGCGAGAGCCUGAACCAGCCAAGUCGCGUGAGGGAGUACUGCCCUAUGGGUUGUAAACCUCUUUUGUCGGGGAGCAAAUGCCGGACGUGUCCGGCUGUGAGAGUACCCGAAGAAAAAGCAUCGGCUAACUCCGUGCCAGCAGCCGCGGUAAUACGGAGGAUGCGAGCGUUAUCCGGAUUUAUUGGGUUUAAAGGGUGCGCAGGCGGAUUUUUAAGUCAGCGGUAAAAUCGUGGGGCUCAACCCCAUCCAGCCGUUGAAACUGGGGAUCUAGAGUGUGCGAGAGGUAUGCGGAAUGCGUGGUGUAGCGGUGAAAUGCAUAGAUAUCACGCAGAACCCCGAUUGCGAAGGCAGCAUACCGGUGCACAACUGACGCUCAGGCACGAAAGCGUGGGUAUCGAACAGGAUUAGAUACCCGUGUAGUC